This is a non-coding RNA of Podarcis lilfordi (Lilford's wall lizard), 74 nucleotides long. NCBI's taxonomy places the organism in Eukaryota, Metazoa, Chordata, Lepidosauria, Squamata, Lacertidae. The record is from the annotation of a GenBank genome assembly.
ACCUGUGGUAGCUCAGUUGGUAGAGCAUGAGACCCUUAACCUCAGAGUCGUGGGUUCGAACCCCAUGGUGGGCA